Molecule: long non-coding RNA, 1117 nt
Filed under: Anser brachyrhynchus (Pink-footed goose)
Lineage: Eukaryota; Metazoa; Chordata; Aves; Anseriformes; Anatidae
Description: lncRNA (ENSABRG00000019564.1)
Source: RNAcentral
AAAAAGUGCAGUUACCUGCAGAAAUGCCAAAGUGAAGUUAUCUUGUUUUCAUAAUAAUAAGAGUGGAAGAAAUUUCCUGGGGUAUUUAGUCCAGUGCUCUGCUGAUUUACUUGCCCUGUUAGCCACUUUCAGGUUCCUUUAGGCGGCUAUAUCAUACUUUAUAGUAACACCUUCUCAACAGUUAACUCUCAAUUUAGAUGUCUGUAUUUCAUAUCCCAUGGUCAGGGUCCAUUGCUCACUUUUUUCCCCUCUCCCCAUCUGUUCCCAGCAAGUUAAGUCAUCACACUGCAGUGCAGUCCCUGUCACGUUAAAGAAGAAGGUUUGGGAGACUGCAAGUAAUAUGUUCACUUCAGUAUAGCUAUCAUGCAAUUUUAUUAUCAUCUUUUGUGAGAGAGGUUUAUCCCAGCUCAUGUCAUGAGUCCCAUUACUAAUUCACACCGCCACUAGCAGCUGGGGCCCUGAUUCCUUAUAACAGGCCAGCCAAUCUACAGCAUCCUCAAGAAAUUAAUCAGCACUCUCUGCAAACAGAUUAGCUCUAUGGUGGUCGGGUAAACAUUUGGAUUACCGUGGUAGAAUAUGAGAGACUGGGCCUAGACCAAAACUGGAAAAAAAACCUUCCUUACCAAUGGGACCUUGUUGUUGUUAUUACAUUUAUUAUUUACGUUUGUAAACAAUUGGCUGUUGUUAUUAUUUACAUUUCUAUUAUUUACUUUUUUGCAUUGUUGGAAUGGUUUGUAUAGAUUUUAUACAAUUUGCUCUAUAUCUAUACUUGAUUCCCAGGUUUCAGAGAAGUUUAUUUUUACUGUGGCUAUCUUGGUGAUAUUCUUUCAUGAUAAUGUACAGGUGAUGCACAUAUAGGUGAUUCACACAGUUUCAAAACUACUUCAGUUUACAAUCACCUCUUUGUUCAGCACCUUGUGCUGUCAGACCAAGCAGUCAUGUCCUUGUAUCCUAAUGGAUAGAGACCAAGAGACUUACAGAAGACUCACUUUUGAGAUGCAGAUUGUUGCAGGUGAGAAUUCACUCUCUGCUUUCUGCUUUGGACUCCUUACUGAUUGACUUAAAACUUUAGUGAAUUUUUAAGUAAAAUAAAUCAAGUUUAUUUUAAUAAAAUGCA